UUUGUCCCCUGUUUUGUAUUA
This 21-nucleotide non-coding RNA is filed under the name Caenorhabditis elegans. Lineage: Eukaryota; Metazoa; Nematoda; Chromadorea; Rhabditida; Rhabditidae. The record is from RNAcentral.